ACUUUCUGGCCAGGCAACAAGAGGUUCUGAAUCUUGGGAGUCUGACAGGAUUCCUGCAGCCUGUCUCAUAUCUCUGCUUGUUGUCGUGGUCAAGGAAAAUACUGAAGGUGAAUACACAAAGAUGCUGGAAGAUCGUUAUUUAUAUAAAUGUUAUCUGAAAUCGCUUCUUCUUCUUCUCUUGUUACAGUACUGAUGACACAGUGGAGAUCUGGACACGUGUGUUUACUGCUCUUUCAUGUCUCCUGUGUCAGAAAUCAGAUUGCCCAUUGCCAUCCUUUCAUCCUUUCACUGGCAGCACAGAACUCCAGUGUUGGAGGGGCAGCAGGUUUCUGUGGUGUAAAACCCUGCUGGACGACUGCAGGGCCACUUGGGCUGUACCUUCCAAAAUGAUUUAAACUGGCAUAAGAUCAUUCUGUUGUCAGCCACACGUUGACAUGUGUCUGUCUCCUCCAUUUAUUGGCUUCUAUCAGUUACGUUGCUGUAACCAGCAAUAUCAGCAAACUGCUUCUGCAGAAAGUUAGCUCUUCUUUGUAGGUUUAACUUUCUGCCAAAUGAACCAGGCUUUAUCAAGAGGAUAUAAAAGGAAUCUGUCUUAUUAUUAUCUGGGGAUGUUUUAUUGCUGUUAUGUUUUCACUCAGAAUUUUGAAGUACUGGAAAAGCACUGAAUGUAUCUUUCUGUUUUGUUACCAGCAAGGAAUUUCUGUUACAUCCCAUUUUAAGAUGGAAGCAGGGGAACAGUUUGUUUCUGCAGAAAAUCAUUCUUCGGAUUUGAGGCUGGGGAGCCUUCUGAGAGUGCUUGGGAUGAGAAUCAGAGAUCUGCCCCCUUCCUCAGGGCAGUGCUUAGAGAUGCAGGCACAUGGAGGCAGCACAGCACCAUCUUUACCAGAAUGUGGGGAGUGAGAGGAAUUGUUGGCUAUUUCUAUUGUCCAAUUUUUCUUCACAUGAGAAAAAAAGAGCAUAGAGAAUAUCCUACAGGGUGAAAAAAAAGACUCUCCGGGUUAACUGAGAAAAUAUGGAAACAAAUGCAGACACCUGGUUGUCUUACAGUGGUCUGCAUUUUAUUUUGGGCUGAACUGAGUUGCAUGAUAUUAACAGAUACUGAGUCAGUGCCAGCGGAGGAAGAACAAAUGUCACUGGAAUACUGUGGAAUGUCAGGUUAAAAAACAAACCAUUGUCCCAUAGUUCCUCUAAAGAGAAAAAGAGGUGGCUGCUUACCACUGAAUCACCUGAAUGCUCAUCUGUGGCGUACUUAGAGCUCAGUUCUAACCUGGCAAAUGUGUCCUCAUUUGCAACAGCGUUUGCAGAGCGUUACGCGUUGUGGAGUGGUGACAUUCCCCCAUUCCUGUCUCUUUUUAAUCCCAGUCAGAAAUCCAGAAUGAUCAAAACGACUUGAACAGAACUCAGAGGAAUUCAUUCCAACCCACACUGAGAUGCUGCCAUGCUUCCUUUCUGAAAAGACUGGGACUUAUAAGAAUUUGUACAACUCAUCCAGACAGAGAUGUAGCAAUGACUUGGAAGGCAUUGAGGAGCUGAUUCAUAAAGCACUGAAAAGAAAUCUUUGCUAACCAACAAAGUUUUUUUAGAAGCACAUGCAGGAAAACUCUGCCAAAUGGUCACAGUCUGAUGCUGAAUUCAGUGCUGAUGGUGAAAGACGGUUUAUAGAUAGGGCAUUCAUUAAGAGUUGUAUAAUGAAAAUAAUUUAAGAAGUAUGUG
This 1713-nucleotide long non-coding RNA is filed under the name Chrysolophus pictus (golden pheasant). RNAcentral's name for it is "lncRNA (ENSCPIG00010014381.1)". The record is from RNAcentral. Lineage: Eukaryota; Metazoa; Chordata; Aves; Galliformes; Phasianidae.